This 131-nucleotide long non-coding RNA is filed under the name Ficedula albicollis (Collared flycatcher). RNAcentral describes it as "lncRNA (ENSFALG00000026935.1)". The record is from RNAcentral. Lineage: Eukaryota; Metazoa; Chordata; Aves; Passeriformes; Muscicapidae.
AUCAAACUUCUGAAUAUUCUCACAGCUGCUGUGGAGCUCACAUGGGAGACGGUGUCGUUUGCGGAAAGUCUCCUCGGAGAGUUCCGAGCCCGCAGAGAGCUCCGGGUCCCAUCCCUCCGGGCUGAACAGCC